This 424-nucleotide ribosomal RNA is filed under the name uncultured bacterium. Its description in RNAcentral is "bacterial SSU rRNA". It matches the Rfam family "Bacterial small subunit ribosomal RNA", at positions 97 to 556 of the family's 1533-position model. The record is from RNAcentral.
GGCAGACGGGUGAGUAACGCGUGGGAACGUGCCUUUCGGUUCGGGAUAACCCAGGGAAACUUGGGCUAAUACCGGAUACGCCCUUCGGGGGAAAGAUUCAUCGCCGAAAGAUCGGCCCGCGUCGGAUUAGCUAGUUGGUGGGGUAAUGGCCUACCAAGGCGACGAUCCGUAGCUGGUCUGAGAGGAUGACCAGCCACACUGGGACUGAGACACGGCCCAGACUCCUACGGGAGGCAGCAGUGGGGAAUAUUGGACAAUGGGCGAAAGCCUGAUCCAGCCAUGCCGCGUGGGUGAAGAAGGCCUUAGGGUUGUAAACCCCUUUCAGCGGGGAAGAUAAUGACGGUACCCGCAGAAGAAGUCCCGGCUAACUCCGUGCCAGCAGCCGCGGUAAUACGGAGGGGACUAGCGUUGUCCGGAAUCACUG